AAUUAAAGAAAUAUAAUAAACAAACAAGGAAAGGAAGAAAAAGAAAAAGGGAAAAAAAAAAAAAAAAAAAACAGAAAAAUGGAUGUAGUGACCUUCGGCAUCAUAGUCGGGAUAAUCCUUCUGUUCUUAGUGGCCGUUUGCUACAUCACCAUUCAAGGCACCUGCAAAUCCUCAUAAUUCUUCUUCGUCUCUCUCAUUUUCAAUCUUAACCUUCACCUAAUCCUCCGCCAUACCCGGAUUCUUCUUUAUUCCCUCCACAAAAUGCCCAACUCCUGCUUUUUCCCCUUCAUUUUUGCUUCUGCACUUGUCUUCUCCCUGUUUUUGGAUCUCAGCUUUGCUCACGGUUCCCUUGGGCAUCAUCAGUGUUCUCAUUCCCAUGGGCACCACCAGCACGCCCAUCAUCAUCGCCAUGACGACGAUUUGUCUGUUACAUCCAAGCUGCUACCGGAGGAGCUCGCGGAGGAGGAGGAUAUGAGGCUUUAUGGAUUUGGACGGCCCUAUGUCGAGCAUGAUCAUGAGAGUGUUGGAUCUUCCGACUUGUCUGGUUUGGGUCUUUGGAUUCGUGCAUUGGGCUGCUCAUUGUUGAUUAGCAUGGCAUCUCUUAUUUGCUUAAUACUCUUGCCAGUAAUUUUUGUUCGAGGAAAACCAUCAAAAGCUGUUGUUGAUUCCUUGGCCUUAUUUGGGGCAGGAGCUAUGCUAGGGGAUGCUUUUCUUCACCAGUUGCCUCAUGCAUUUGGUGGUGGCAAGCACUCUCAUUCACACGCUGAUCAUCAUGGUCAUUCUCAUUCAGAAGACGAGCAUUCACAUUCACAUGCACAUACUUUGGAAGAUCUUUCUGUAGGAAUGUCUGUCCUUGCUGGAAUCGUGCUUUUUCUUCUGGUAGAGAAGAUAGUGAGGUAUGUAGAAGAUAAUUCUGAGGGAGGAAAUGAUUGGAGUCAUGGUCACCACCACCACCAUAAGAAUAAAAAAUUGAAGGAUGAUAGUGAUUCUCCUGACACCACUGAUAAAAAGGGCAGAGCUAAGUUGUUGGAUGGAGUGCCAAAUGACUCAAAAGAAGAUCAGGGUACUCCACAGAAAUCCGUUCCCCGGAAGAGAAAUGGGAAAUCUGCCUCCAGAGAUGAUAAGGAAGAUCUAGUUGCUACUAAUGGCCUCACUGCUGAUGUCAAUUCCUCACAAGAAUUUCCAGCUAAGACACCGUCAAACUUAGUGUUUGGUUAUCUCAAUCUAUUCUCUGAUGGCGUUCACAAUUUCACCGAUGGGAUGGCCUUAGGAAGUGCUUUCUUACUAUAUGGAUCUGUUGGUGGAUGGUCUAGAACUGUGUUUUUGCUUGCGCAUGAACUCCCGCAAGAGAUUGGGGAUUUUGGUAUUUUGGUAAGAUCCGGUUUCAGUGUUGCCAAAGCUCUUUUCUUCAACUUCCUCUCUGCACUCGUGGCUCUUGCCGGAACUGCAAUUGCAUUGCUAAUGGGGACAGAUCCGGGACACUCAUCGUUGAUUGAGGGGUUUACCGCGGGUGGUUUCAUAUACAUCGCGGUUGCUGGAGUACUAGCUGAAAUGAACAGUAGCAGCAAAUCAACUAUAAGAACAACUGUAUUUCAAUUAACUUCACUUGUACUCGGAAUGGCUGUCGCGCUUGGGAUUUCCCUCAUUGAAUGAAUCAGAGUGCAUUUAAUUGAUCAACUAGUGUAAGAUUAGCAGAGAUGUUAACUAAAGGAUGCACGGAUUGAUCUUUUAGCUGGAGACUUGCGGAUUCUGUGUUCCUCGGUAAUCUUUUUGAAUGAAUGUUGACAAGCUAUUGGUAUACUAAUGUGACAUUUGAAAUUCAGUUUUAAAUGGUUGUUGCUGUCUUGCUGAUAUAUACUUGAACAAAUGUGUUCUUAAAAAGUGUUGGUGUUCUACACCAAUGUUUUAUGUGAAAUAUUGAAUCAAUGUUGCUAUACUA
This is an RNA transcript of Cucumis melo (muskmelon), 1939 nucleotides long. It is a transcript of the gene named IAA-alanine resistance protein 1, with no coding region annotated. Lineage: Eukaryota; Viridiplantae; Streptophyta; Magnoliopsida; Cucurbitales; Cucurbitaceae. The transcript has 13 exons. The record is from RefSeq and is a predicted model, not a curated record.